CAGGCCUAACACAUGCAAGUCGAACGCCCCGCAAGGGGAGUGGCAGACGGGUGAGUAACACGUGGGAACGUACCCUUUGGUUCGGAACAACCCUGGGAAACUAGGGCUAAUACCGGAUACGCGCGAGAGCGGAAAGGUUUACCGCCGAAGGAUCGGCCCGCGUCUGAUUAGCUAGUUGGUGAGGUAACGGCUCACCAAGGCGACGAUCAGUAGCUGGUCUGAGAGGAUGGUCAGCCACAUUGGGACUGAGACACGGCCCAAACUCCUACGGGAGGCAGCAGUGGGGAAUAUUGGACAAUGGGCGCAAGCCUGAUCCAGCCAUACCGCGUGAGUGAUGACGGCCCUAGGGUUGUAAAGCUCUUUUACCUGGGAAGAUAAUGACGGUAUCAGGAGAAUAAGCCCCGGCUAACUUCGUGCCAGCAGCCGCGGUAAU
Molecule: ribosomal RNA, 433 nt
Filed under: uncultured bacterium
Lineage: Bacteria
Description: bacterial SSU rRNA
Rfam family: Bacterial small subunit ribosomal RNA
Source: RNAcentral